UACAGAGGAGCCAAGCGUUGUCCGGAUUGACUGGGCGUAAAGCGCACGCAGGCGGCACCGCGCGUGGGGUGUGAAAUCUGGCCGCUUAACGGCCAGGCGCCAUCCCAUACGGCGGAGCUGGAGUGAUGCAGAGGUCGGUGGAAUUGCCGGUGUAGCGGUGAAAUGCGCAGAUAUCGGGAGGAACACCUAUGGCGAAGGCAGCUCGCUGGGACGUUACUGACGCUGAGACGCGAAAGCGUGGGGAGCAAACAGG
RNAcentral lists this ribosomal RNA (253 nucleotides) under uncultured bacterium. RNAcentral's name for it is "partial 16S ribosomal RNA". It matches the Rfam family "Bacterial small subunit ribosomal RNA", at positions 524 to 776 of the family's 1533-position model. The record is from RNAcentral.